GCCCCGGGGGCGCGGCGGCCGCGGGGGGCGGCGGCAGCAGCGGGGGCGGUACCGAGGUGCCCGGGGAGAAGGCCUGGGGCUCGCAGGAGGAGGAGGGCGAAGGCAGCGCGGCGGUGGAGGGGCCCGGCUCCUCCGAGGAGAGGAACAGGGUGGUGGAGGACGGAGAGUCCAAGUCUAGUAAGGAAGAGUGGGUGUAGGAGCAGUUCAUGUACCAAGAACAAAGCUGGAGGGCCGUGGGGCUGAGCAGAGACAUUCAGAGACAAGAGGAUCAUGGAGCCCAAUCGGGCAUCCAGAACUGCCUCACGUCCUCCAAAACUUAAUUUCCUUGGGCUUCUAUGAUGAUCUUCGUUGGUAAACCAAGAAUCAUAGACACGUCUAAGCACAGAACUCCCGGUCUGCCUUCCAACUAUAUCCAGCAUCUGACCACGUGUCACAGUCUCCAGGCAACCAAGGUGCAGCCUUUGGUGCCUGAGCCAGGAUCAGAACACAGGUCUCCUGAGUUCCAGGAACGUCAUGAGACCCACAGGGCAGUCUUCUGGUUUUAAGACCUAGCUCUGCUAUCGCCGAGGCCCUCCAAGGAGAGGCUGGGCAGCCCUGACGGGGACGUGGGGCUGAUUCUCCCAGGAAGAACACUGCCCAUCCCCUGUGGUCCCUGAAGAUCAGAAGAACCCAGCCCUGGGGAAACCCUUGGUCUGUGUCUCCAGCAGCAUUAGUGAUUUCCUGAGAGUGAGGUGAGAAAAGUCAUUUCACUUUCUGUGUGAAUUAUUCAGCCUCAAACUUCCUCGUGGCUGAGGGUUGAGCCAGAGAGGAAUGCUCAUCAUCAAUCAAGUUAGGAAAGCAAGAUGGGUGGCAAGGAAGAAGGGCUGGCACAGAGACUGAUUCAGGCAGCCAAACGCUUCUCCUCCUUUAAAGAAGAGAGAGAAGUGAAAUCACGUGUCUGUAUGUAGUUGUUCACAGUGACGCUGUUCACUUGGACCAAAAGGUCCAAAAAUGAAUGAGUGUAAAAAAAUGUGGGGUGUGUGUGCAUAUAUAUAUUUAUAUGUACAUACAUAUAGAGGCAUAUAUUAUAUUAUACAUGAAUAUUAUUCAGCCUUAAAAAGGAAGGACGUUUUGACAUAUGCUAAAUGGAUGAACCUCAAGGUGUACGUACACUAAAUGGAAUAAACCAGUCGCAAAAGCCCAUACACAAAAUAUUGUGUGAUUCCUCUUGUGUGAGGUUCCUGGGGUGGUCACACUCACGGACACAGAGAGGACAAUGUGGCUGGCAGGAGCAGAGGGGGGAC
RNAcentral lists this long non-coding RNA (1283 nucleotides) under Suricata suricatta (meerkat). RNAcentral's name for it is "lncRNA (ENSSSUG00005004441.1)". The record is from RNAcentral. Lineage: Eukaryota; Metazoa; Chordata; Mammalia; Carnivora; Herpestidae.